Molecule: long non-coding RNA, 726 nt
Filed under: Gallus gallus (chicken)
Lineage: Eukaryota; Metazoa; Chordata; Aves; Galliformes; Phasianidae
Description: lncRNA (ENSGALG00010006284.1)
Source: RNAcentral
GUGUAAGAGACUAUUCUUUUAUAUGAUUGACUCAAAGUUUGCUGAGGAACAAGUCCAGGCAAGUCCUGGGCAAAGGUAGAGAAAUCUUUUGUCUUGAGGACACUGAUGGACAGGUCCUGGCUAAGGAUUGUGAAAUCCCCUAAGGAGCACAGAUGGACAAGGCCAGGGGCAACGAGAGAGAGAGAUAAGCUGCUGCUAAUGGCUGGGAAACGGUCUUUUUGUGUGGACUUAUCUCGAGGAAAAUGGCCAUCUCAGGAGGUAUGCACAUGACUCUUGCUCAAGCACCCAGGAAUGUCACGUAGGCAGGAGAAAAUGGAGGAUAAAAGAGGGUCCAACAACCACAGCUGUGUGGAGGCUGAUCUCUCACCGCAACACAGAGGCUGAUCUCUCAUGAUCUCUCACCACGACACAAGCUUCCUGCCUUCAGAUCCCUCUCUACGGACCAUUUGCUGACGGACUUCCCUGGACCUGCUACCUGAGACCUGCUGCUUCCUCCCUGACCUGCACCCUCUCGUUGCCCAAGACCGGCCUCGCUGCUCCUGCCCUUCGGCCUCGGACCGUCGGAACAUCGUGCAACGGGACUACUGCCGGAUCCUGGUGUCUCUUCCUGCAGAAGCUGACAGCCCAUGGCAUGGACUGCUACACUCUUUGCUGAUGUCAACGGUUUAAGGGCUGGUCCGGCCCGGUUCCGCAACUAGUGGGGCGGAGGAAUUUCACAAAAUCCGC